AAUCAGUGUCCCAGAAGAUGUUUAUGACAAGGGUUGUGUGAAAGACGUAGAUGAGGGCUUGGAGGCAGCAGAAAGAAUUGGUUUUCCAUUGAUGAUCAAAGCUUCUGAAGGUGGCGGAGGGAAGGGAAUCCGGAAGGCUGAGAGUGCGGAGGACUUCCCGAUCCUUUUCAGACAAGUACAGAGUGAGAUCCCAGGCUCGCCCAUCUUUCUCAUGAAGCUGGCCCAGCACGCCCGUCACCUGGAAGUUCAGAUCCUCGCUGACCAGUAUGGGAAUGCUGUGUCUCUGUUUGGUCGCGACUGCUCCAUCCAGCGGCGGCAUCAGAAGAUCGUUGAGGAAGCACCGGCCACCAUCGCCCCGCUGGCCAUAUUCGAGUUCAUGGAGCAGGUACACUUCUCAGAGCCCAGGGGGCAGCUUCAGAGAGAGCCGUGUCAGCUCAGAGUCAGGAAGAACUUUCUACGUGUGCCGUCCGCCUGGCCAAGACCGUGGGCUAUGUGAGUGCAGGGACAGUGGAAUACCUCUAUAGCCAGGACGGCAGCUUCCACUUCUUGGAGCUGAAUCCUCGCUUGCAGGUGGAACAUCCCU
Molecule: small RNA, 583 nt
Filed under: Pongo abelii (Sumatran orangutan)
Lineage: Eukaryota; Metazoa; Chordata; Mammalia; Primates; Hominidae
Description: processed transcript
Source: RNAcentral